UACGUAGGGAGCAAGCGUUGUCCGGAAUCAUUGGGCGUAAAGAGCGUGUAGGCGGUCCUGUAAGUCCGCUGUGAAAGUCAAGGGCUCAACCCUUGAAUGCCGGUGGAUACUGCAGGACUAGAGUCCGGAAGAGGCGAGUGGAAUUCCUGGUGUAGCGGUGAAAUGCGCAGAUAUCAGGAGGAACACCGAUGGCGAAGGCAGCUCGCUGGGACGGUACUGACGCUGAGACGCGAAAGCGUGGGGAGCAAACAGG
RNAcentral lists this ribosomal RNA (253 nucleotides) under uncultured bacterium. Its description in RNAcentral is "partial 16S ribosomal RNA". It matches the Rfam family "Bacterial small subunit ribosomal RNA", at positions 524 to 776 of the family's 1533-position model. The record is from RNAcentral.